RNAcentral lists this ribosomal RNA (2745 nucleotides) under Triticum aestivum (bread wheat). RNAcentral describes it as "partial small subunit ribosomal RNA". The record is from RNAcentral. Lineage: Eukaryota; Viridiplantae; Streptophyta; Magnoliopsida; Poales; Poaceae.
AUGGAGGUCGUGACGGGGGCCAUGAGCACCCUCCUGCCCAAGCUGGGCAGCAUGCUCAAGGAUGAGUACAACCUGCACAGGAAGGUCAGGGGCGAGAUCCUGUUCCUCACGGCCGAGCUGGAGAGAAUGGAGGCUGCUCUCAUAGAGGUUUCGGAGGCCCCGAUUGACCACCCACCUAGUAAACUUGUAAAGCUUUGGGCCAAGGAUGUCAAGGACCUGUCGUACGAAAUUGAGGACAGCGUCGACAAAUUCAUGGUGCAUCUCGACGGCCGUGCAGAGGAGAAGGCGCAGAGCUUCAUGGGUUUCAUCCACAGGAGCAUCGACCUGUUGACGAGGGCCAAGACGCGCCACAAGAUCGGCACCGAGGUCAAACACAUCAAGAGACGCAUCCAGGAGGUCAGUGCACGGCGCGAUAGGUACAAGGUUGACAAAGCUGUUGAAAAGCCUGUUGUCACAAGUGUUGAUAGCCUUCGCCUGUCAGCUCUCUACAAAAAGGAGACAGAGCUCGUUGGCACCGAAGAGAAGAUCCAAGAGCUAGUCGAGACAAUGACUGAGGAGGCAGACGAGGCGUCUAAGCAGCAGCUGAAGAUAGUCUCCAUUGCUGGUUUUGGGGGAUUAGGCAAGACAACUCUUGCUAAUGCGGUGUAUCAAAAGCUUAAAUCACAAUUCGAUUGUGGGGCUUUUGUUUCCGUGUCUCUUAAUCCGAACAUUGAGAAGAUUUUUAAGAACAUUCUUCACCAACUUGACAAGCACAAUUAUAGUAACAUCAAUGAAGCGGUAUGGGGCGAAGCACAGCUCAUCAGUGAGCUAAGAGAUUUUCUUCUAAACAAGAGGUAUUUCAUUGUGAUUGAUGACAUAUGGAACAUUUCUGUAUGGAAAACAAUCAAACAUGCUUUCAUUGAGAACAGAUGUGGAAGUAGAAUAAUCAUAACAACUCGUAUUCUUGAUGUUGCCAAACAAGUUGGUAGUGUUUAUGACCUAAAGCCUCUUUCUCCUAUCGACUCAAGAAAGUUAUUUCACCAAAGAAUAUUUGGUAUCGAAGACAAGUACCCUCCUACUCAAUUAGCUGAAGUAUCUGAGAACAUUUUAAAGAGAUGCAGUGGAGUACCAUUGGCUAUAGUGACAACAGCUAGUAUGCUAGCUAGUAAAAGAGGAAAUGAUUGGCCCAAGGUGUACCAAUCUAUGGGUUCCGAGCCACAAGAUAGUUCUGAUAUGCAGGACAUGAGAAGGGUAUUAUCAGUGAGUUACUACGACCUACCUGCACAUCUGAAGACAUGUUUAUUGUUUAUCAGUGUGUAUCCAGAGGAUUAUACCAUUGUAGCUGAAGAUUUGAUAUGGCAAUGGAUUGGUCAAGGUUUUGUUCAGGAAGAACAUGGGAAGAGCUUGUAUGAAGUAGGAGAGGAAUACUUUGCUCAGCUGAUUAACAAAAGCUUGAUUCAACCUGUAGAUAUUGGGAGUGGUAAUAAAGCGAGCGCAUGUCGUGUACACGAUAUGGUGCUUGACCUCAUCACUUCCCUUUCAAGCGAAGAGAACUUCCUAAUAACAGUAGGUGGUCUGCAGCCUGUGUCUGCAUCAAGUAAGAUACAUCGACUAUCUGUACAAAACAGAAAUGAAGAUGAUUUGAAGAAGCUGGCAACCAUGAGCUUGUCUCAUGUGAGGUCAGUUUUUGUUUUCGGGCAAGAUAUCAGUUUACUGCCAGCCCUCUCAAGCUUUCCAGUCAUACGUGCAUUGGAUUUAAGUUACUGUCUUAAUGUGGAUAAUCAUCAUGUGAAGAUUAUGUGCAAUCUGCUUCACUUGAGAUAUUUACGGCUGUGCAAUACAUCCAUAACUGAGAUCCCAGAAGAGAUCGGGAAUCUGCAGUUCUUGCAGGUACUGGACAUAAGUCAGACUGGAAUAGAAGUGUUGCCGCCGCAAUUUGUCCGGCUAACGCAGCUAGUGUACCUGCAUAUUGACAGGCGGACCAAACUGCCAGAUCAGUUUGGCGAUCUGAAAUCCUUGCAAGAUUUUCCAGUUAUCCCCACUGUAACGUCUCCAUCCAUGCUGCAUGAUGUAGGGAAGCUGACGAAACUGAGAAACCUUCUCAUCAGUUUCGAUGAAUGGAACGAGAGCUACGAGGAACCUUUCUGCCGGUGUCUCUCGAAUCUGGUCAAUCUCAAAACGAUAAAAAUAAUCGGUGCCCAUCUCGGCUUAGACUCCGGAAGCGACUAUUUGUUGCCGCGGCCUCGAUACAUUCAGACAAUUCAUCUGAUCAACAACAUCAACUGUGCACUGCCAAGAUGGAUGUCCUCCCUGUCCUGCCUCUCCUUUCUCACAAUCCAUGGCCUAAGAACACUGCGAGUGGAGGACCUUCAAGUCCUUGGGAGCAUACCGUCAUUGAGUUAUCUCGACAUAUGGGUUGUGGAGCCCACACAAGAGAGACAAGAUAGGUUAUUGAUCGACAGCGGUCAUCCAUUCCUUUGUCUAACAACACUCAAGGUCGCCAGUCGCGUCAUGGAGCUACGGUUUGCCCAGGGAGCCACGCAGAAGCUCCAAACCCUCAAGCUACGGUUCUCGGCGCGACAAACACUUUAUCAGUUUGGCGAUUUGGAUUUUGGGCUGGAGAACGUCUCUUCGCUUGAGCACGUGUAUGUCGGGAGGUGGUCCAAGCCCGAGCCCGGGGAGGUGGAGGCUGUGGAGGCUGCGGUCCGGGAAGCGCUCGGCAUGAAUCCCAACCAGCCGACACUCGAGUUCAGCAAGUGGCGAUGA